This 388-nucleotide ribosomal RNA is filed under the name uncultured bacterium. RNAcentral describes it as "bacterial SSU rRNA". It matches the Rfam family "Bacterial small subunit ribosomal RNA", at positions 28 to 417 of the family's 1533-position model. The record is from RNAcentral.
GACGAACGCUGGCGGCGUGCUUAACACAUGCAAGUCGAGCGGUAAGGCCCUUUCGGGGUACGACGAGCGGCGAACGGGUGAGUAACACGUGGGUGACCUGCCCUUAGCUCUGGGAUAAGCCUGGGAAACUGGGUCUAAUACCGGAUAUGACCUCAUGACUCAUGUUGUGGGGUGGAAAGCCUUGUGCGGCUAGGGAUGGGCCCGCGGUCUAUCAGCUUGUUGGUGGGGUAAUUGCCACCAAGGCGACGACGGGUAGCCGGCCUGAGAGGGCGACCGGCCACACUGGGACUGAGACACGGCCCAGACUCCUACGGGAGGCAGCAGUGGGGAAUCUUGCGCAAUGGGCGAAAGCCUGACGACNGCGACGCCGCGUGAGGGAUGACGGCCU